Molecule: long non-coding RNA, 192 nt
Organism: Sinocyclocheilus anshuiensis
Lineage: Eukaryota; Metazoa; Chordata; Actinopteri; Cypriniformes; Cyprinidae
Exons: 3
Source: RefSeq, a predicted model, not a curated record
GCUGGAGUUAACAAAAAGUCCACUGACUCUGGACACUCAAAUUUUGCCAGGUCUCACCAGACUGGUGUUGGGUCCAGGGACAGGUCCACAGGCAACCCUGGACAUUUAAAUGUAACCCGAGCCAGUCAGUUGAGGGGUGCUGGGUCCAGUCAUCAGUCCAGCCACAGUGAUGUAUCCCAGCACAGUGACGGG